GUGUGCCAGAGGCUGCUGGGGCUGCUUGCUUGCCAGGUCCUCGGGGUGGGGGCCGAGGGGGCAGGUCGUUUGAAGCUCCGCGCUGAGGGCAUGAGGAGGGAAAGAACUUGAAUCGCUCCUCUCCCAACCGAAGACAUUGUCUUUUUCUCGAUGUAGUUAGUAGGAAGGACUAGUGUAGAUCUGCCCUAAACGUGCGGCUGACCCAUUUUCCUCGUUGUAGUUCCGCCCUUUUAGAGGAGAAAUGCUUCGUGGGAGCUAAUGGUUCUCUCAGGUGAUCGAAUACAACUUCAGACCUCCCCACCCCCACCCCGGUCUCUGGACCACUCGCCAUCUCUGCAGGACUCUGGAAUCAGACUGGAAUUGAAGCUACUGAGUCCCCUGUUGUUGAUUCUUCUUGUCUCUACCCACAGCACAGCCUGGGGAAAAUCAGGACUCAGCCUGAGGACUCUCUCUCUCCCAAAAGGGGAGCGUUAAAGAGGAAGGAAUGUCCUCUGUGUUCCUGACAGCUGGACCCCAGGUGAGUUAGAAUUUCAUUUCUCUUUCUAAAAUGCCACUUCAGGUCUUGAGGGAGUGAAAAAUUUCCUUCUU
This 588-nucleotide long non-coding RNA is filed under the name Vombatus ursinus (common wombat). RNAcentral describes it as "lncRNA (ENSVURG00010017955.1)". Lineage: Eukaryota; Metazoa; Chordata; Mammalia; Diprotodontia; Vombatidae. The record is from RNAcentral.